UACGUAGGGUGCAAGCGUUAAUCGGAAUUACUGGGCGUAAAGCGUGCGCAGGCGGCUUUGCAAGACAGAUGUGAAAUCCCCGGGCUUAACCUGGGAACUGCAUUGUGACUGCAUGGCUGGAGUGACGGCAGAGGGGGAUGGAAUUCCGGCGUGUAGCAGUGAAAUGCGUAGAUAUGCGGAGGAACACCGAUGGCGAAGGCAAUCCCCUGGGCCUGCACUGACGCUCAGUGCACGAAAGCGUGGGGAGCAAACAGG
RNAcentral lists this ribosomal RNA (255 nucleotides) under uncultured bacterium. Its description in RNAcentral is "partial 16S ribosomal RNA". It matches the Rfam family "Bacterial small subunit ribosomal RNA", at positions 524 to 776 of the family's 1533-position model. The record is from RNAcentral.